UACGGAGGGUGCAAGCGUUAUCCGGAUUCACUGGGUUUAAAGGGUGCGUAGGUGGGUUGGUAAGUCAGUGGUGAAAUCUCCGUGCUUAACAUGGAAACUGCCAUUGAUACUACUGAUCUUGAAUUUUCAGGAGGUAAGCGGAAUAUGUCAUGUAGCGGUGAAAUGCCUAGAUAUGACAUAGAACACCAAUUGCGAAGGCAGCUUACUACAGGAAUAUUGACACUGAUGCACGAAAGCGUGGGGAUCAAACAGG
This 253-nucleotide ribosomal RNA is filed under the name uncultured bacterium. Its description in RNAcentral is "partial 16S ribosomal RNA". It matches the Rfam family "Bacterial small subunit ribosomal RNA", at positions 524 to 776 of the family's 1533-position model. The record is from RNAcentral.